GGCUUUAACCUCUGGUUGCAACCCAGAAACAGAAGGGAUAACCUUCUAAGGCCU
RNAcentral lists this transfer RNA (54 nucleotides) under Asymmetron sp. A TK-2007. RNAcentral's name for it is "tRNA-Cys". Lineage: Eukaryota; Metazoa; Chordata; Leptocardii; Amphioxiformes; Branchiostomatidae. The record is from RNAcentral.